Molecule: ribosomal RNA, 472 nt
Filed under: uncultured bacterium
Lineage: Bacteria
Description: bacterial SSU rRNA
Rfam family: Bacterial small subunit ribosomal RNA
Source: RNAcentral
GAAGAGCACUCCUACGGGAGGCAGCAGUGGGGAAUAUUGCACAAUGGGCGCAAGCCUGAUGCAGCCAUGCCGCGUGUAUGAAGAAGGCCUUCGGGUUGUAAAGUACUUUCAGCAGUGAGGAAGGUGGAUAUGUUAAUAGCAUACUCAUUUGACGUUAGCUGCAGAAGAAGCACCGGCUAACUCCGUGCCAGCAGCCGCGGUAAUACGGAGGGUGCGAGCGUUAAUCGGAAUUACUGGGCGUAAAGCGCAUGCAGGUGGUUUGUUAAGUCAGAUGUGAAAGCCCGGGGCUCAACCUCGGAAUUGCAUUUGAAACUGGCAAACUAGAGUACUGUAGAGGGGGUAGAAUUUCAGGUGUAGCGGUGAAAUGCGUAGAGAUCUGAAGGAAUACCGGUGGCGAAGGCGGCCCCCUGGACAGAUACUGACACUCAGAUGCGAAAGCGUGGGGAGCAAACAGGAUUAGAUACCCUGGUAG